GCAAGUCCCUUUACUGACGCUAAAGCUCGAAAGUGCGGGUAUCGAACAGGAUUAGAUACCCUGGUAGUCCGCACGGUAAACGAUGGAUGCCCGCUGUCGGCGAUAUAUUGUCGGCGGCCAAGCGAAAGCGUUAAGCAUCCCACCUGGGGAGUACGCCGGCAACGGUGAAACUCAAAGGAAUUGACGGGGGCCCGCACAAGCGGAGGAACAUGUGGUUUAAUUCGAUGAUACGCGAGGAACCUUACCCGGGCUUGAACUGCAGGAGAAGGCGGCAGAGAUGCCAACGUCCUUCGGGACUCCUGUGGAGGUGCUGCAUGGUUGUCGUCAGCUCGUGCCGUGAGGUGUCGGCUUAAGUGCCAUAACGAGCGCAACCCCUGCUGUCAGUUGCCAUCGGGUGAUGCCGGGCACUCUGUCAGGACUGCCACCGUAAGGUGUGAGGAAGGUGGGGAUGACGUCAAAUCAGCACGGCCCUUACGUCCGGGGCUACACACGUGUUACAAUGGGUGGUACAGAGAGCCGGGUGCACGCAAGUGCACUCCAAUCAUUAAAGCCAUCCUCAGUUCGGAUUGGGGUCUGCAACCCGACCCCAUGAAGCUGGAU
This 600-nucleotide ribosomal RNA is filed under the name uncultured bacterium. RNAcentral describes it as "bacterial SSU rRNA". It matches the Rfam family "Bacterial small subunit ribosomal RNA", at positions 727 to 1331 of the family's 1533-position model. The record is from RNAcentral.